ACCUGUGUGGCUCAGUCGGUUGAGCAUCUGACUCUUGAUUUCUGCUCAGGUCAUGAUCUCAGAGUUGUAGGAUAAAGCCCUGUCUCAGGCU
RNAcentral lists this transfer RNA (91 nucleotides) under Canis lupus familiaris (dog). It matches the Rfam family "tRNA". From Rfam's summary of the family: Transfer RNA (tRNA) molecules are approximately 80 nucleotides in length. Their secondary structure includes four short double-helical elements and three loops (D, anti-codon, and T loops). The record is from Rfam by way of RNAcentral. Lineage: Eukaryota; Metazoa; Chordata; Mammalia; Carnivora; Canidae.